Molecule: unclassified non-coding RNA, 257 nt
Filed under: Hevea brasiliensis (rubber tree)
Lineage: Eukaryota; Viridiplantae; Streptophyta; Magnoliopsida; Malpighiales; Euphorbiaceae
Source: RNAcentral
GGGGACAAAAAAAAAUGUCCCACAGUCCAUACCAGAUAUGGACACUUUCAACUUUAUUGGAAAACAAUAUGAUAGCCAUUCAUUACUUACCAUGUUAUUUAAUAUGCAAUUAAAUUUUAUUUGUUUUUAAUUAGUACUAAUUUCCAUUCUGUGCGUAUUUAUAAUCUUAAAGUUCAGAUACUGUUUCCAUGAUUUUUUUUCCACGUUAUCAAUUUGAUAAUUUAGAUUCAAUUGAUUUCAAAUUAAUUAAAUAUCAA